CAGUAGCCGCGGGAACACGUAGGGUGCAAGCGUUAAUCGGAAUUACUGGGCGUAAAGCGUGCGCAGGCGGUUAUAUAAGACAGAUGUGAAAUCCCCGGGCUCAACCUGGGAACUGCAUUUGUGACUGUAUAGCUAGAGUACGGCAGAGGGGGAUGGAAUUCCGCGUGUAGCAGUGAAAUGCGUAGAUAUGCGGAGGAACACCGAUGGCGAAGGCAAUCCCCUGGGCCUGUACUGACGCUCAUGCACGAAAGCGUGGGGAGCAAACAGGAUUAGAUACCCGGGUAGUCCCUGUCUCUUAUAC
This 301-nucleotide ribosomal RNA is filed under the name uncultured bacterium. RNAcentral describes it as "partial 16S ribosomal RNA". It matches the Rfam family "Bacterial small subunit ribosomal RNA", at positions 509 to 807 of the family's 1533-position model. The record is from RNAcentral.